AAAUGCGAUAAGUAAUGUGAAUUGCAGAAUUCAGUGAAUCAUCGAAUCUUUGAACGCACCUUGCGCUCCUUGGUAUUCCUUGGAGCAUGCCUGUUUGAGUAUCAUGAAAUCUUCAAAGUAAAUCUUUUGUUAACUCAAUUGGUUUCUACUUUGGAAUUGGAGGUCUUUGCAGCUUCACACCUGCUCCUCUUUGUUCAUUAGCUGGAUCUCAGUGUUAUGCUUGGUUCCACUCGGCGUGAUAAGUUAUCUAUCGCUGAGGACACUGUAAAAGGUGGCCAAGGUAAAUGCAGAUGAACCGCUUCUAAUAGUCCAUUGACUUGGACAAUACUUUUAUGAUCUGAUCUCAAAUCAGGUAGGACUACCCGCUGAACUUAAGC
RNAcentral lists this unclassified non-coding RNA (377 nucleotides) under plant metagenome. RNAcentral describes it as "partial contains 5.8S ribosomal RNA, internal transcribed spacer 2, and large subunit ribosomal RNA". The stretch from base 1 to 104 matches the Rfam family "5.8S ribosomal RNA", at positions 51 to 154 of the family's 154-position model. The record is from RNAcentral.